UACGAAUUGAUAUUCUACUUCGUCAGAACUGCUUUAUAACUGAGGAAAUAUUAAGAUGCGACGUUUCAAUCUCCAGUGUCUCCAAGUCAAAUGCAGUUUAUUGGCCUUUGGCUGUUUUAAAACGUUUUCCUGAGCAUUUUUCUUUCUUAGAUCACGAUUCUUGUCUCGACAGCUGCAUGUUCGAAAGACAAGUCACUUUUAACCAACGAUUUAUAAUGAUGAAUAAAAUUACGCCAUUAUGAAACGCCCAAAUUUCGACAUUUUUUAAUGUAAAAAUCAUGUGGAAUAAAAACAUGGAAUUUAUCUUUAUCAAAAAAAAACAAAUUAUAAAAAUCCAAAUUUUCUUACUGCAGUCAAUAUUUCCAAUUUCAUGCCAUGUGCGACAUGCACAGUUGUAAGAAAUGGCCAAUCUUGUUUCUGUGCUUGCCGUCGUCGACAUGAAAAUGGGGAUGUUUGUCAGAUAGCCUGAAAAUUUGCUAGAUACGAUGGUUGAUAUCGUCCAUUCUUUUUCUUCCGAAACAUGUUUAACUGUUUUCAGUUUGUUGGUACAUAUGUCUAAAAUCAAAUAAAAACAUAGUAAUUUAUCUUUUUGUGAAACGACAAUCCUUGCACAUUAUAAUGUUUUUGUCUG
This is a long non-coding RNA of Xenia sp. Carnegie-2017, 631 nucleotides long. RefSeq lists it as uncharacterized. NCBI's taxonomy places the organism in Eukaryota, Metazoa, Cnidaria, Anthozoa, Malacalcyonacea, Xeniidae. The record is from RefSeq and is a predicted model, not a curated record. The transcript is spliced from 3 exons.